This 434-nucleotide ribosomal RNA is filed under the name uncultured Coprococcus sp. Its description in RNAcentral is "partial 16S ribosomal RNA". It matches the Rfam family "Bacterial small subunit ribosomal RNA", at positions 341 to 792 of the family's 1533-position model. Lineage: Bacteria; Bacillati; Bacillota; Clostridia; Lachnospirales; Lachnospiraceae. The record is from RNAcentral.
ACGGGAGGCAGCAGUGGGGAAUAUUGCACAAUGGGCGCAAGCCUGAUGCAGCGAUGCCGCGUGAGGGAAGAAGGUUUUCGGAUUGUAAACCUCUGUCAACAGGGACGAAGAAGACGGUACCUGUGAAGGAAGCUCCGGCUAAUUACGUGCCAGCAGCCGCGGUAAUACGUAGGGAGCAAGCGUUAUCCGGAAUUACUGGGUGUAAAGGGAGCGUAGACGGCAAUGCAAGUCUGAAGUGAAAGCCCGUGGCUUAACUGCGGGACUGCUUUGGAAACUGCAUGGCUAGAGUGUCGGAGAGGUGAGUGGAAUUCCCAGUGUAGCGGUGAAAUGCGUAGAUAUUGGGAGGAACACCGGAGGCGAAGGCGGCUCACUGGACGAUUACUGACGUUGAGGCUCGAAAGCGUGGGGAGCAAACAGGAUUAGAUACCCUGGUA